This 449-nucleotide ribosomal RNA is filed under the name uncultured bacterium. Its description in RNAcentral is "bacterial SSU rRNA". It matches the Rfam family "Bacterial small subunit ribosomal RNA", at positions 329 to 793 of the family's 1533-position model. The record is from RNAcentral.
GGCCAGACUCCUACGGGAGGCAGCAGUGGGGAAUAUUGCACAAUGGGGGAAACCCUGAUGCAGCGACGCCGCGUGAGUGAAGAAGUAUUUCGGUAUGUAAAGCUCUAUCAGCAGGGAAGAAAAUGACGGUACCUGACUAAGAAGCCCCGGCUAACUACGUGCCAGCAGCCGCGGUAAUACGUAGGGGGCAAGCGUUAUCCGGAUUUACUGGGUGUAAAGGGAGCGUAGACGGCAUGGCAAGUCAGAUGUGAAAGCCCGGGGCUCAACCCCGGGACUGCAUUUGAAACUGUCAGGCUGGAGUGCAGGAGAGGUAAGUGGAAUUCCUAGUGUAGCGGUGAAAUGCGUAGAUAUUAGGAGGAACACCAGUGGCGAAGGCGGCUUACUGGACUGUAACUGACGUUGAGGCUCGAAAGCGUGGGGAGCAAACAGGAUUAGAUACCCCGGUAAAG